ACUGAAACAUCUAAGUACCCGGAGGAAAAGAAAUCAAACGAGAUGCCCACAGUAGCGGCGAGCGAAGAGGGCAGAGCCCAAACCUGUAAGCUACGGCUUAUGGGGGUUGAGGACUGACGUAAUUAAGGCCAGGCUUAGCUGAACUACCUGGGAAGGUAGGCGAUAGAAGGUAAGAGCCCUGUAAGCGAAAGGCAGAGCCUUAAGGUCAGUAUCCAGAGUACCACGGAGCACGAGGAAUUCUGUGGGAAGCAGGGGGGACCACCCUCCAAGGCUAAAGACUAACUGGCGACCGAUAGCGCAUAGUACCGUGAGGGAAAGGUGAAAAGAACCCCGGGAGGGGAGUGAAAUAGUACCUGAAACCGUAUGUCUACAAGCAGUCGGAGCGAAAGCAACGGCGUGCCUAUUGAAGAAUGAACCAACGAGUUAUCUGCACUAGCGAGGUUAAGUGGAAGACACGGAGCCGUAGCGAAAGCGAGUCUGAAAAGGGCGGAUAGUUAGUGUAGGUAGACCCGAAACCGCAGUGAUCUACCCAUGUCCAGGUUGAAGCGCAGGUAAAAAUGCGUGGAGGACCGAACCGGUGAGCGUUGAAAAGCUUUCGGAUGAGAUGUGGGUAGGGGUGAAAUUCCAAUCGAACGCGGAGAUAGCUGGUUCUCCCCGAAAUAGCUUUAGGGCUAGCCUCAGGUAGUAAGUAUAGGCGGUAGAGCACUGAUCGGGCUAGGGGCCAUAAAGGUUACCGAACCCUGUCAAACUCCGAAUGGAUAUACUGCAGAGCCUGGGAGUCAGACUACGAGUGAUAAGAUCCGUGGUCAAAAGGGAAACAGCCCAGACCACCGGCUAAGGUCCCAAAUGCCGUACUAAGUGGAAAAGGAUGUGGGGAUUCAUAAACAACCAGGAUGUUGGCUCAGAAGCAGCCACCAUUUAAAGAGUGCGUAAUAGCUCACUGGUCGAGAGUCCCUGCGCCGAAAAUUUCCGGGGCUAAAGUACGGAACCGAAGCCGUGGCUGUGUACUUAGGUGCACGGGGUAGGGGAGCGUUGCCACAGGGGUGAAGCUGGUCUGGAAGGACUGGUGGACUUGUGGGAAGUGAGAAUGUUGGUAUGAGUAGCGAAAAGAAAGGUGAGAAUCCUUUCCACCGAAAGCAUAAGGAUUCCUGAGCAACGAUCGUCGUCUCAGGGUAAGUCGGGACCUAAUCCGAGGCAAAGAGCGUAGGAGAUGGACAACAGGUUGAUAUUCCUGUACCGGCAGCAAUUGUUUGAGCGAAGGAGUGACACAGAAGGGCAGGCAGGCGCGAGACUGGAUUGUCGCGUGCAAGCGUGUAGGGUAGUGUACAGGCAAAUCCGUACACUGAGAGCCUGAGGCGUUACGCGGAGCGAGCAGAGAUGCGAGCGAAGCUGCUGAUCCCACACUGUCGAGAAAAGCUUCUAGUGAGAGAGCUGCCGCCCGUACCGUAAACCGACACAGGUAUGCGGGGAGAGAAUCCUAAGGUGCGCGGGAGAACCCUCGUUAAGGAACUCGGCAAAAUGUACCCGUAACUUCGGGAUAAGGGUAGCCGUCUUGGUGAAGGAACUAGCUUCUGGAGCUGAAGGCGGUCGCAGAGAAGAGGCCCAAGCGACUGUUUACCACAAACACAGGUGCCUGCUAAAGCGAAAGCUGACGUAUAGGUGCUGACACCUGCCCAGUGCUGGAAGGUUAAGGAAGGAUGUCCGGGCAACCAAAGCAUUCGACCGAAGCCCCAGUGAACGGCGGCCGUAACUAUAACGGUCCUAAGGUAGCGAAAUUCCUUGUCGGGUAAGUUCCGACCCGCACGAAAGGUGUAACGAUUUGGGCACUGUCUCAACGAGGGACCCGGUGAAAUUGAAAUACCUGUGAAGAUGCAGGUUACCCGCGACUGGACAGAAAGACCCCAUGGAGCUUUACUGUAACCUGACAUUGGGUUUUGUUGUAUUACGUACAGGAUAGGUGGGAGGCUUGGAAGGCUGGACGCUAGUCUGGCUGGAGCCGGCGUUGGGAUACCACCCUUGAUACAACGGAAUUCUAACCGAGAGAGUAACGAAAUCCGGGACAGUGUCAGGCGGGCAGUUUGACUGGGGCGGUCGCC
Molecule: ribosomal RNA, 2096 nt
Filed under: human gut metagenome
Description: bacterial LSU rRNA
Rfam family: Bacterial large subunit ribosomal RNA
Source: RNAcentral